Molecule: ribosomal RNA, 495 nt
Filed under: uncultured bacterium
Lineage: Bacteria
Description: partial 16S ribosomal RNA
Rfam family: Bacterial small subunit ribosomal RNA
Source: RNAcentral
GACGAACGCUGGCGGCGUGCCUAAUACAUGCAAGUAGAACGCUGAAGGAGGAGCUUGCUCUUCUGGAUGAGUUGCGAACGGGUGAGUAACGCGUAGGUAACCUGCCUGGUAGCGGGGGAUAACUAUUGGAAACGAUAGCUAAUACCACAUAAGAGUAGAUGUUGCAUGACAUUUACUUAAAAGGUGCAAUUGCAUCACUACCAGAUGGACCUGCGUUGUAUUAGCUAGUUGGUGGGGUAACGGCUUACCAAGGCGACGAUACAUAGCCGACCUGAGAGGGUGAUCGGCCACACUGGGACUGAGACACGGCCCAGAAUCCUACGGGAGGCAGCAGUAGGGAAUCUUCGGCAAUGGACGGAAGUCUGACCGAGCAACGCCGCGUGAGUGAAGAAGGUUUUCGGAUCGUAAAGCUCUGUUGUAAGAGAAGAACGAGUGUGAGAGUGGAAAGUUCACACUGUGACGGUAUCUUACCAGAAAGGGACGGCUAACUACGUG